RNAcentral lists this ribosomal RNA (433 nucleotides) under uncultured bacterium. RNAcentral's name for it is "partial 16S ribosomal RNA". It matches the Rfam family "Bacterial small subunit ribosomal RNA", at positions 29 to 507 of the family's 1533-position model. The record is from RNAcentral.
AGCGAACGCUGGCGGCAGGCUUAACACAUGCAAGUCGAGCGGGCACUUCGGUGUCAGCGGCCGACGGGUGAGUAACACGUGGGAACGUACCCUUUGGUUCGGAAUAACGCUGGGAAGCUAGCGCUAAUACCGGAUACGCCCUUUUGGGGAAAGGCUUGCUGCCGAAGGAUCGGCCCGCGUCUGAUUAGCUAGUUGGUGGGGUAAUGGCCUACCAAGGCGACGAUCAGUAGCUGGUCUGAGAGGAUGAUCAGCCACACUGGGACUGAGACACGGCCCAGACUCCUACGGGAGGCAGCAGUGGGGAAUAUUGGACAAUGGGCGCAAGCCUGAUCCAGCCAUGCCGCGUGAGUGAUGAAGGCCUUAGGGUUGUAAAGCUCUUUUGUCCGGGACGAUAAUGACGGUACCAGAAGAAUAAGCCCCGGCUAACUUCGUG